This is a non-coding RNA of Xyrichtys novacula (pearly razorfish), 570 nucleotides long. NCBI's taxonomy places the organism in Eukaryota, Metazoa, Chordata, Actinopteri, Labriformes, Labridae. The record is from the annotation of a GenBank genome assembly.
CACAAUUAGGGCAGGUGAAUAAACUUGUUUGGGGGGUGUUAAUUACAUGCUUAACGUAAACAAAAGCCAUGUAAAAGAAUGUGAAUUACCAGUGGCUUUUUCCUCCUGAAUCCCCAUUCAGGUUUUACAUUUCACCUCUGGUCUCUUCUCGGAGUGAUUUCCGAAGUGCCUGCGAGGGCUUCUCCCUCCUAAACAUAAUGCUGGAUAAUACCUGCAGCCCCGGCUUGAAUGGUGAUCACCUAAAUUGGUGCACCGUGGAACCCGGGCAGGUAUGGGAGGCUUUGCAUAUUCGGAGUGGUGCGGCUAAGCCUGCACUCUCAACUUCAUUUUGGGGUCGUGCGUGCAUGCGUGUGCGUGUGUGGGAGAGAGAAGAGGGAGAGAUUGGAAGGGGUGGGGGGUGUGUAGGCUAGGAGGUUAGUUUUAACACCAGCAUGAAAAUACCAGGCUUUACUUCCAGUCCACGGCGCUUUCCAACGGGACCAAUUCAAGUGCCACUUGGAAUUAGUUCUCCUGAGGUUCGAUCAGCAGCGCAGUGGACAGGUUUGAUCCCAGAUACCACCCUACCCCCCC